Molecule: long non-coding RNA, 792 nt
Organism: Beta vulgaris subsp. vulgaris (sugar beet)
Lineage: Eukaryota; Viridiplantae; Streptophyta; Magnoliopsida; Caryophyllales; Amaranthaceae
Exons: 3
Source: RefSeq, a predicted model, not a curated record
AUUUACCUUUAAUUACUCCAUCAUUAACAAAUUAUUGCCCAAUGCAAUUUGAAAGCCAAUAAAACAAAAAAAAAAAGCCAAAAGCGUCAUCUUCCUCAAACUAACACUACCGAUAGAACAGUACUGCACCACCCGUCUAAAAUUUGCACCAAAAUUCAAUCGCCGGAAACCGUCGAGUUACCUUGCCGGCCAAUUCGUCUGCCAGUGGAGUCGGGUUUGUCGUCCAAUUACGUCUUCGCUGGUCUCUUAAUUUCGUCUGCUAUUUGUUCGAUUACCAGCACCACGCCCCAGCGACGCCACCACGCCCCAGCGACGCCACCACGCCAUAGCGAUGUGAUUCGUCCGCCAGUAUCCAGGGUCCUCGUCAACACCAAGAAUCUCAUGACUGUGGAUAUUAUGUGUGCCGCCGAUAUAUGCUCGAGACUGUAGAGAAAAGGCGACAAGCAAUUCCUGAUAAGUACUUUGGUGGAGUUACAACUGAAUUUUCUCAAAUUAAGCUUGAUGAGCUCAGAGACUUGUGGAUCAAAUAUGUGGAUGAAUAUAAACAAGUGGAUGAAGAAGAAUUGAAAGAUAAUGACCAUUUUAAUUAGGAUGUGUGUAUUUUCUUUUUGCGCGGGAUUAGGGAGGUACUUCUAUAUAUUUUUGUGCACAUGAAUUGGAAGAAACGACAGGCCUAGGUGUUCUAUUAUUUUUUUAUAACUUAGUUGAAUUUUUGGAAUCUUUUAAACAUUAUAUGUGAUUUUGUAGUGAAUGAUAUUAAAUGAAUGAAAAAGUAUUCCAAUGUUAAAGUCA